AGAAGGUGUGAUGAUGUCUACCCAUCAAUUCUGCAUUUGAAUGAUGAAUAUUAACAUGCACUACCAUCUGAUCUCAU
This is a small nucleolar RNA of Malania oleifera, 77 nucleotides long. Lineage: Eukaryota; Viridiplantae; Streptophyta; Magnoliopsida; Santalales; Ximeniaceae. The record is from RefSeq and is a predicted model, not a curated record.